This 848-nucleotide ribosomal RNA is filed under the name uncultured Bacillota bacterium. Its description in RNAcentral is "bacterial SSU rRNA". It matches the Rfam family "Bacterial small subunit ribosomal RNA", at positions 70 to 896 of the family's 1533-position model. Lineage: Bacteria; Bacillati; Bacillota. The record is from RNAcentral.
AAAGUCCCCUUCGGGGGGCGAGUAGAGUGGCGCACGGGUGAGUAACACGUAGGUAAUCUACCUUUGGAUUGGGAAUAACCACCGGAAACGGUGGCUAAUACCGAAUAAUGCAGCGGCACCUAAUGGUGACAGUUGUUAAAGCGGGGGAUCGCAAGACCUCGCGUCUGAAGAGGAGCCUGCGGCAGAUUAGCUAGUUGGUAAGGUAACGGCUUACCAAGGCGAUGAUCUGUAGCCGGCCUGAGAGGGCGGUCGGCCACACUGACACUGACAUACGGGUCAGACUCCUACGGGAGGCAGCAGUCGGGAAUUUUGGGCAAUGGGCGAAAGCCUGACCCAGCAACGCCGCGUGAAGGAUGAAAUCCCUCGGGAUGUAAACUUCGCAAGAACGGGAAGAAUAAGUAAGAGCUAACAUCUCUUAUGAUGACGGUACUGUUUGUAAGCUCCGGCUAACUCCGUGCCAGCAGCCGCGGUAAUACGGGGGGAGCAAGCGUUGUUCGGAUUUACUGGGCGUAAAGGGCGCGUAGGCGGCACCGCAAGUCGACUGUGAAAUCUCCGGGCUUAACUCGGAAAGGUCAGCCGAUACUGCGGGGCUAGAGUGCAGAAGGGGCAACUGGAAUUCUCGGUGUAGCGGUGAAAUGCGUAGAUAUCGAGAGGAACACCUGCGGCGAAGGCGGGUUGCUGGGCUGACACUGACGCUGAUGCGCGAAAGCUAGGGGAGCGAGCGGGAUUAGAUACCCCGGUAGUCCUAGCCUUAAACGAUGAAUGCUUGGUGUCUGGGGUUUUAUAGUCCCCGGGUGCCGUCGCUAACGCUUUAAGCAUUCCGCCUGGGGAGUACGGUCGCAAGACUG